GAUGAAGAACUCAGCGAAAUGCGAUAAGUAAUGUGAAUUGCAGAAUUCAGUGAAUCAUCGAAUCUUUGAACGCACCUUGCGCUCUUUGGUAUUCCGAAGAGCAUGCCUGUUUGAGUGUCAUGAAAAUAUCAACCUUGACUUGGGUUUUGUGCUCUAGUCUCGGCUUGGAAUUGGGUGCUUGCCGCUUUUACGAGCGGCUCACCUUAAAUGUAUUAGCUGGAUCUGUCUUUGAGACUUGGUUUGACUUGGCGUAAUAAGUAUUUCGCUAAGGACAUUCUUCGGAGUGGCCUCGUUUCUAGGACGCUUGUCCGCUUUCCAAUACAAGUUCCACCUCGUGGACAUGACUUUUUAUUAUCUGGCCUCAAAUCAGGUAGGACUACCCGCUGAACUUAAGCAUAUCAAUAAGCGGAGGA
RNAcentral lists this unclassified non-coding RNA (413 nucleotides) under soil metagenome. RNAcentral's name for it is "partial contains 5.8S ribosomal RNA, internal transcribed spacer 2, and large subunit ribosomal RNA". The stretch from base 1 to 120 matches the Rfam family "5.8S ribosomal RNA", at positions 35 to 154 of the family's 154-position model. The record is from RNAcentral.